CUUAGCGGGAAGAUUGCUGCCAAGAAAGGUCCUAAUCCAGCGAAGCACUUAAGCAUGUGCUUAAUUUUAAGUAUAGUGAUUACUCAUAUGAUUAAAGUUAGGUUUAAACACUUUGGACUGGGACCUAGAUCAUUACAUCUCCUACUAAGAGAGACUGUGGGAGAAACUGAGAGACAGCAGUGCAGGAUAGGAAUAAUUGGUGAAGACUUGUCAGAGAAGGACAUCCACUUUUGAGGAAAAUCGCCUUGCGCUGGUCACAGAAAAAUGACAGAAAGAAAGGACAGAUGACUGUCAUGCAGCAAUCAUGGCCCAGUCCUGACUUCCAACAAUCAGAGUCCUCAGUCACCAAAGGAUUCAUUUAAAAAAAAACAACUGUGAAAGAGAUCAUCCUCUACCUUGAGGGAUCACAGAACCACAGAUGGGAUUACUGAUUCUGGAUACCAGAGACAUACAGUCAGUCUCCCUUCCCUAUUUGCUGUUGAUAUGCUCCACCUCAGGAUCCUGCUGGAAAAGAUCUUCUUGGCAAGCUUAAUCUUACACAAACUCUUAGCUAGCAGGAUGAAUUGGGGGAUCCUGGAGUGGUGACAAACUGACACACAUUCAACAAAACAACCCUGAUUGGCCUUCCAAGAGCUCUGCUCUUUGUCUCCCCAAGCAGCAGGUAGGUACAGUAAUACAGCACUCUGAUCUGUCUGUAAAAUUCCAACUUGGUUAUUGGUGGUGACACAUGAUACCUUUCAGCAAACAGUGUGAUCAUGUUUGAGUGGGCCAGAAGGAGCUAUCCCCUUUGGUGGUGGUGUAAGGCAUCCAGCUACAGUGAGCCAUAACCAAUGAAUUGUGAGCCUGGCCCCUUUUACUUCAAUGGCCGGGCAGAUAACUCAAACCAAGCCCUGCAAGAGGUAGGAAAAAUGGAUAUGCCCUUCUAGGGGCUUGUUCUUCAU
Long non-coding RNA from Dermochelys coriacea (leatherback sea turtle), 941 nucleotides. RefSeq lists it as uncharacterized. Lineage: Eukaryota; Metazoa; Chordata; Testudines; Dermochelyidae. The record is from RefSeq and is a predicted model, not a curated record. The transcript is spliced from 3 exons.